Long non-coding RNA from Leucoraja erinaceus (little skate), 4831 nucleotides. RefSeq lists it as uncharacterized. The transcript is spliced from 6 exons. The record is from RefSeq and is a predicted model, not a curated record. NCBI's taxonomy places the organism in Eukaryota, Metazoa, Chordata, Chondrichthyes, Rajiformes, Rajidae.
GGACAAACCAGAGAAGUCAGACUAACAACAAUUUUUAAAUUUGAAAUUUAAAUAUGAACACCAUGUGUCAUGAUGAAAAAAUCCAAACAACUGUGUUAUUAAAAGAGAGUAGGAAGAAAAUGCAGAUGCUGGUUUAAACCGUAGACACAAUAAGCUGGUGUAACUCAGCAGAUCAUGUAGCAUCUCUGGAGAGAAGGAAUGGGUGAGAUUUUUGGUCGAGAUCCUUCAUCAGACCUUCUUUCAGACUGAAAAAAGGGGUUUGUAACAAGAAGGCAGAUUAUUAUCUGAAUAGUGUCAGAUUAGGUGCAAUGAAACCUGGGUGUCCGUGUACAUCAGUCACUGAAAGUAAGCAUGCAGACACAGCAGGCAGUGAAGAAAGCUAAUGGCAUGUUGGCCUUCAUAGCGCGAGGAUUUGAGUAUAGGACCAAGGAGUUUAGGGCCACUGUUGUUCUGGGCCCUGGUGAGACCACAUCUUGAGUAUUCUUGCGAAUGAGGGAGUGUCUUGAAUUGAAUGAGAUCCACAAAUUGAGACCGAAGGCUUGCAAACUCUGGAAUUUCAUCAAGUCGGCAAAACUCAUCCCAAGAUGCUUUAGGGAGCCAUUCAGUUGGAUUUGGGUGUGGAUUAUCCAAGCCAAUGCCACCCGUCAGCAAAAAGGUCCACUCCACUUCUUCAAUCUGAAGAUUUUUGGCUGUCAGAUUCCAGCGCGUCUUCUCCCCACCAAGUCCACCAAUGAGUUGAUCUGCACGCUCCAGCUUUUUACUGCACAAAUCAACCUAGGAGAUACCAUGUGGAAACAGGCCCUUCGGCUCACCGGGUCCACGAUCAUCCGUACACUAGUUCUAUCCUACACGUCAAUUAACUUACAAACCCACAGCUUUUUGGAAUGUGGGAGGAAACUGGAGCACCUGGAGAAAACCCACAAGGGGUGAAGGAAAGAGCGUUCACGUCGCGGCCCAGUUUCCACCAAUCUUUCCACCACCACCACACACAAGAAGCACAAGACAGACACCAUUGUAUGCAGAUGCAGAGACGUGUGUCCAGCUCUGGCUGAACAACUUCUAAUGUUGUGAGUGAACUCGAUAAGAAGAAGACUUAUCUUGCAGGUUUGCUCUAAGAGGAGCUGGGAUUGAUUCAACAGGUGGUCAUGCCGAAGGUAGACUGGACAAGGUAGAUUUCAAGGUCGUCUGAAGAAGGGUAUCGACCCGAAAAGUCACCCAUUCCUUCUCUCUAGACAUGCUGCCUGAGUUACCCCGGCAUUUUGUUGUCUAUCUUCGGUGUAAACCAGUAUCUGCAUUUCCUUCCUGCGCAUUUUGUCAUGCCCAAGGUGCUGGCCGAAAGUGGAUGUAUGACCACCAGGGAAGGAAAAGGGAGUAGGCAGAGGAAUCCAUUUCCCUCGAAAUCGAGUACAUCCUUGUGUAUACUACUGGGAGGGGAUGUCCAUUCCAUGGAUGUCCAGGUCUGUGGUAUCAAGUCUGGCUCUGGCUCACAGGGAGCAAUGGUGAAGUCAAAACAAGUGAAGAUGAUAGGUAAUUCAAUAGUUAAGGGUACAGACUAGAGAUUCUGUGGAAGCAACAGGAGUCCAGGCUGGUGUCUUGUCUCCCUUGCGCUAUGGUCCAGGAUAUCUCAGAGUGGCUGUGGAACAGUUCUCAAGGAAGAGGGUGAGUAGCCAUACAGUAAGUCAUUGUGCACGUUGGCACAAAUGACAGGUAGGAAAAGGGAUGAGGGUCCUGCAGAGUGAAUGUAGUGAGAUUGGCAAAAUGUUAAAAAGCAGUCCCACAAUAGUAGUAAUGUCUGGAUUUUUCCUUAUGCUAGUGACGGUAGGAAUAUGAAGAUGUGACAGAUGAAUAUCUGGCAGAAGAGAUGGUGCAGGGGUAGGGAUUCAGAUUUUUGGACUAUUGAGAUCUCCUCUGGGGCAAAAGUAACCUGUGUAUGAGGGUCGGGUUGCACUUACACUGAAGAAAGGCCAAUAUCCUGGCAGGCAGGUUUGCAAGUGCUACUAAGGAAGCUUUAAACUAGAUCAAGUUCAAAAUAGUUUAUUGUCAUGUGUCGCUGAUAGGACAAUGAAAUUCUUGCUUUGCUUCAGCACAACAGAACAUAGUAAGCAUUGGACUACAAAACAGAUCAGUGUGUCCAUAUACCAUUAUAUAAAUAUAUACACACAUGAAUAAAUAAACUGAUAAAGUGCAAAUAAACAGAUAAUGGGCUAUUAAUGUUCAGAGUUUUGUCCGAGCCAAGUUUAAUGGCUGUGGGGAAGUAGCUAUUCCUGAACCUGGUUGUUGCAGUCUUCAGGCUCCUGUACCUUCUACCUGAAGGAGUGGAGAUGGAUCCAAAGACAUAGUGGGACAGAUGGGAGACAGUCGGGUGGGUGGAAGUUGAUACAUUCAACGACAGGAGGUUCAGUAGACAGGCCAUGCAGGAGCAUGGCAGGGAGAGAGGAAAGAUGGUUGGAUUAAAUUGCCUUAUUUCAAUGCACGAGGCCAGACAGGCAAGCAAGGCAAAUGAGCUCGAGGCAUGGAUAGGUACAUGUGACUGGGAUAUUAUAACCAUUACAGAAAGGCUAAGGGAGGGACAGGACUGGCAGCUUAAUGUUCUCGGGUUCAGGCGAGAUUGAGGUGGGGUAGACUGGGACUAGAGGCCAGUAAGCCUAACAUCUGUAGUAGGAAAGUUACUGGAGAGAAUUCUGCGGGAUAAGAUUUGGAUAAACAGGAGUUUAUUAGAGAUACUCAGCAUGGUUUGUACAUGGGAGUUAUUUGUUUGAAGUAACUGAGAAAGUUGAUGGUGAGGCCAGGGCUGUAGAUAUAGUCUAUAUGGACUUCACAAAUGCCUUUGAUAAGGCUUUGCACAGUAGGCUUCUCUGGAAGGUUAGUUCACAUGGGAUCCAGAGAGAGGUCGAUCUUGGGAGUAUUGUUUUCAGUUUUAGUCACCCUGCUAGGGGAAAGAUGCCAUCAAGCUGGAAAGGAAGCAAAGAUGAUUUACUGGGCUGUAACCAGGACUCGAGUACUUGAGCAAGAGGUUCAGCAGGUUCGUACUUUAAUCCUUGGAGGCUGAGGGCUGAUCUUUAUGGAGGUGAAUAAAAUCAUAAGGGAAAUAGAUAGAGUGAAUGCAAGAGUCUUUUUCCCCAGAGUAGGGAAAUGAAGUAUCAGAGGGCAAAAUUGAAGGGGAGCGGAGUAUGAUUUAACCACAGCAUGAGGGACAAUAUUUUCCACAUAGUGGGUACAUGAAAGGAGAUGCCAGAGGAAAAUAGUUGAGGCAAGUACAAUAACAACGUUUAAAAGACAUUUGGACAGGUGCCUGAAUAAGAAAGUUUUGAGGGAUGUUGAGCUAAAUAUAGACAAAUGGGACUAGCUUUGUUGAGGCAUCAUGUUCGGCAUGGAUAUGAUUGGCAGAAGGGCCUGUUUCUGUGCUGUAUGUCUCUAACUCUUACAGACCAAAGAGCCUCAUUCUGUGGCAUAAGAUACGGUGAUGCCUUGUGACUGCAUGAUCUGGGGAAGUGAGGAGGACGACUCCAACACUAAAAUGCCACACUUUAUACAAUUAGUUUAGUUUAGUCAAUAUGCAAUAGUCUAGAGAUACAGCACAGAAACAGACCCUUCAGCCCACCAAAUCCAUGCUGACCAGCACACUUAUACUAUCCUACAUACACAAGGGACAAUUUACAAUUAUUCAAAGCCAAUUAGCCUACACACCUGUAUGUCUUUGGAGAUCCUGGAGAAAAUUGGAGAUCCUGGGGAAAACCUGCGAGGUCACGGGGAGAAUGUACAAACUACUUACAGACUGCACCCAUAGUCAGUCUCUGGCAAUGUAAGGCAACAACUCUACCGCUGCACCACCGCGCCGCCCUGAUAUGACUCUAUAGUUCUAUGAUAAGCAUCAGCUUCAUAAGCCUUUUCCCUAAUUUUAAACAAGGUUAGUUGAUGAGCACCCUGGCAAGGCCUGGCCAAUUGUAAGCCCAUCUAUUCUACAUGAAAUAUAUAACAGGACAGAUUACAAUUUUCAGCAAAAUGUUACCUAUUCAUAAUUUGUUGCAAUAUAUUUUAUAUGUUCUGUGUAUGGUGUGGAACAUGAUAUUAAAUAUAAUGCUAGUAAGAGUGCUGUUAUGAUCUGUAGAACCAAAGAGGAUAAAUGUCUAAAAUUUCCUGAUUUUAAAUUGUCCGACAAUAAUCUUAGUGUCUGUAAUAAGGUAAAAUAUCUAGGGCAUUUUAUUACAGAACAAAUGACAUAUGAUGAGGAUAUUUAUAGGCAACAACGCAUGCUGUAUGUACAGGCGAAUAUUCUCUUGUGUAAAUUUGAUGCGUGUGCAGAUGUGGUGAAGAUGUCGCUAUUUAGCGCAUACUGCACACCACUCUACACUGCACACCUGUGUUCGAACUAUGGAAAGACAAGUUUGCAGAGACUAAAGGUGGCAUAUAAAGAUGCAAUGAGAACACUGCUAAGGAAACCUAGAUGGUGUAGUGCUAGUAACAUGUUUGUGGCAGCAUGAGUCAGUACUUUAGAAGCUAUCCUAAGAAAUCAUAUGUAUAAAUUCAUUUGCAGAAUAAAUGACUUUAAAAAUGUAAUUAUUGUUGCCUUGUCAAACAUAAGGGUUAGCACUACACGCUACGAAUCCCAGCUGUGGAGACACUGGUAUCGUUGUCUCGUUGUAGGACAUUGAUCAUUCUUUUAAUCUGGAUUUUUAAUUCAUGUAUUGUGUGUUUUUUUAUAUAUAUAAUUUAAUAUGCUUUUAUGUGAUAUACUAAGAUUUUAUAUGUACUUUAUGAUAUUUUUUAAUAUGCAAUGCAUGUUUAUGUAAUGUUGCCCCUUGUCUGGACCGCGAGUCUGUAAUAAAGUUUU